AAUAUUGGACAAUGGGCGAAAGCCUGAUCCAGCCAUGCCGCGUGUGUGAAGAAGGUCUUCGGAUUGUAAAGCCCUUUACGUUGGGAGGAGGGGUUGUAGGUUAAUACCCUGCAAUUUUGACGUUACCAACAGAAUAAGUACCGGCUAACUUCGUGCUGGCAGCCGCGGUAAUACGAAAGUUGCAAGCGUUAAUCGGAAUUACUGGGCGUAAAGCGCGCGUAGGUGGUUCGUUAAGUUAGAAGUGAAAGCCACGGGCUUAACCUGGGAAGUGCUUUCAAAACUGACGGGCUAGAGUACGUUAGAGGGUAGUGGAAUGUCCUGUGUAGCGGUGAAAUGAGUAGAUAUAGGAAGGAACGUCAGUGGCGAAGGCGACUACCUGGACUGAUACUGACACUGAGGUGCGAAAGCGUGGGGGGCGAACAGG
Molecule: ribosomal RNA, 424 nt
Filed under: uncultured bacterium
Lineage: Bacteria
Description: partial 16S ribosomal RNA
Rfam family: Bacterial small subunit ribosomal RNA
Source: RNAcentral